This 821-nucleotide small RNA is filed under the name uncultured Verticillium. RNAcentral's name for it is "eukaryotic LSU rRNA". The stretch from base 541 to 821 matches the Rfam family "Eukaryotic large subunit ribosomal RNA", at positions 1 to 281 of the family's 3401-position model. Lineage: Eukaryota; Fungi; Ascomycota; Sordariomycetes; Hypocreales. The record is from RNAcentral.
CUUGGUCAUUUAGAGGAAGUAAAAGUCGUAACAAGGUCUCCGUUGGUGAACCAGCGGAGGGAUCAUUACCGAGUACUAUAACUCAUAACCCUUUGUGAACCUUUAUACCUGUUGCUUCGGCGGCGCGCCUCCCGGGGCGUGCCCGCCGGCAUUAUCAGAAUCUCUGUUCGAACCCGACGAUACAUCUGAGUGUUCUAAGCGAACUGUUAAAACUUUCAACAACGGAUCUCUUGGCUCCAGCAUCGAUGAAGAACGCAGCGAAACGCGAUAUGUAAUGUGAAUUGCAGAAUUCAGUGAAUCAUCGAAUCUUUGAACGCACAUGGCGCCUUCCAGUAUCCUGGGAGGCAUGCCUGUCCGAGCGUCGUUUCAACCCUCGAGCCCCCGUGGCCCGGCGUUGGGGAUCUGCCCAGGCAGUCCCCGAAAACCAGUGGCGGACCCGUUGGGCCCUUCCUUUGCGUAGUAACAUCUGCCUCGCAUCGGGAGCCUGCGGGCUAUCCGGCCUCUAAACCCCCCUCAAGCCCGCUCCGGCGGCACCAAGGUUGACCUCGGAUCAGGUAGGAAUACCCGCUGAACUUAAGCAUAUCAAUAAGCGGAGGAAAAGAAACCAACAGGGAUUGCCUCAGUAACGGCGAGUGAAGCGGCAACAGCUCAAAUUUGAAAUCUGGCUCCUUCGGGGCCCGAGUUGUAAUUUGUAGAGGAUGCUUCGGGUACGGGUUCCUUCCGAGUUCCCUGGAACGGGACGCCAUAGAGGGUGAGAGCCCCGUCUGGUAGGACACCCAGCCCGUGUGAAGCUCCCUCGACGAGUCGAGUUGUUUGGGAAU